GGGCAUAUAGCGGAGUGGAUACCGCGUCAGUUUCCGGCACUGAAGGACCCAGGUUCGAACCCUGGUAUGCUCG
This is a non-coding RNA of Blastocladiella emersonii ATCC 22665, 73 nucleotides long. The record is from the annotation of a GenBank genome assembly. Lineage: Eukaryota; Fungi; Blastocladiomycota; Blastocladiomycetes; Blastocladiales; Blastocladiaceae.